UAGUUGGUCUUGUACAUGCGCAGUGU
Molecule: non-coding RNA, 26 nt
Filed under: Macaca fascicularis (crab-eating macaque)
Lineage: Eukaryota; Metazoa; Chordata; Mammalia; Primates; Cercopithecidae
Also listed under: 1 other name
Source: RNAcentral